CCUGGUAGUGGGGGAUAACGUUCGGAAACGGACGCUAAUACCGCAUACGUCCUACGGGAGAAAGCAGGGGACCUUCGGGCCUUGCGCUAUCAGAUGAGCCUAGGUCGGAUUAGCUAGUUGGUGAGGUAAUGGCUCACCAAGGCGACGAUCCGUAACUGGUCUGAGAGGAUGAUCAGUCACACUGGAACUGGGACACGGUCCAGACUCCUACGGGAGGCAGCAGUGGGGAAUAUUGGUCAAUGGGCGAAAGCCUGA
Molecule: ribosomal RNA, 255 nt
Filed under: uncultured bacterium
Lineage: Bacteria
Description: partial 16S ribosomal RNA
Rfam family: Bacterial small subunit ribosomal RNA
Source: RNAcentral